AGACAAGGAAGAACUGUUGGUGACAUUUAGCAUGAACCAAUGGCUUUUUGGCUACUAUGGAGAAGUUCUUCUCCCGACCGCCUUCCUCCGAAUUCUUCCAUUCGUCGACCGCGUUUUUUCUCCCGAACUCCUACAGGUAUUUGAUGAUCCUAAAGAAUUAACACAAGAUGAUUUGUAUGAUUUGCAACUCCUUUGGGCAAAAUGUUUCUUUGAGUUAUAUAAAGAUUAAGCUUUAUAUGCAAAUGUAAUUCUGGUGUUGUCUUCAGAAGCUACAACUCAUCUUCUCGUGGAUGCAUGUUGGUAUUUCAAGUGCACUAAAGGACUUAAAUGUUUGGAUAUUUAUUGUUUUGUUAUUUUG
This is a long non-coding RNA of Vicia villosa (hairy vetch), 358 nucleotides long. RefSeq lists it as uncharacterized. Lineage: Eukaryota; Viridiplantae; Streptophyta; Magnoliopsida; Fabales; Fabaceae. The record is from RefSeq and is a predicted model, not a curated record. The transcript has 4 exons.